This 453-nucleotide ribosomal RNA is filed under the name uncultured bacterium. RNAcentral describes it as "bacterial SSU rRNA". It matches the Rfam family "Bacterial small subunit ribosomal RNA", at positions 340 to 785 of the family's 1533-position model. The record is from RNAcentral.
UACGGGAGGCAGCAGUGGGGAAUAUUGCACAAUGGGCGCAAGCCUGAUGCAGCCAUGCCGCGUGUAUGAAAAAGGCCUUCGGGUUGUAAAGUACUUUCAGUCGUGAGGAAGGUGUUAAGGUUAAUAACCUUAGCAAUUGACGUUAGCGACAGAAGAAGCACCGGCUAACUCCGUGCCAGCAGCCGCGGUAAUACGGAGGGUGCGAGCGUUAAUCGGAAUUACUGGGCGUAAAGGGCACGCAGGCGGUUAAUUAAGUUGGAUGUGAAAUCCCCGGGCUUAACCUGGGAAUGGCAUUCAAGACUGGUUAGCUAGAGUCUUGUAGAGGGGGUAGAAUUCCAUGUGUAGCGGUGAAAUGCGUAGAGAUGUGGAGGAAUACCGGUGGCGAAGGCGGCCCCUGGACAAAGACUGACGCUCAUGUGCGAAAGCGUGGGGAGCGAAACAGGGAUUAGAUAC